UAAAGACUUCUUCUCUGCUAAAUGUCACAGUGUGACAUGUUCUUCCCUGGUCAUAUCAGGUGGCCAAAAAGUAUGAGAGGUGGGGCUCUCUGCCACCUCCAAUGAACUGUCUCUGCACUUACUUCAUGGAGCUGGUGACACCCUCAGAGUCAUCCUCAAUUACAGAUUCAACUACAUGGAGCCAGGAAGUUUCUGGAUGGCCUGAGCUAACCAGGGCCCUUGUGGCCUAUGCAUUGGGUGAAUGGAUCCUAAGGCCUACAGACUUCCCUGAGGCUAUCUGGCUCUACCUUUAG
Molecule: long non-coding RNA, 293 nt
Filed under: Bos indicus x Bos taurus (hybrid cattle)
Lineage: Eukaryota; Metazoa; Chordata; Mammalia; Artiodactyla; Bovidae
Description: lncRNA (ENSBIXG00000024317.1)
Source: RNAcentral